This 100-nucleotide signal recognition particle RNA is filed under the name Eubacteriales Family XIII. Incertae Sedis bacterium. RNAcentral's name for it is "signal recognition particle sRNA small type". It matches the Rfam family "Bacterial small signal recognition particle RNA". Rfam says of the family: The signal recognition particle (SRP) is a universally conserved ribonucleoprotein involved in the co-translational targeting of proteins to membranes. Archaeal SRP consists of a 7S RNA and homologues of the eukaryotic SRP19 and SRP54 proteins. Lineage: Bacteria; Bacillati; Bacillota; Clostridia; Peptostreptococcales; Anaerovoracaceae. The record is from RNAcentral.
GGUCGGGCCCCGCGCAAUGGGCACCUGUGAACCUCGUCAGGUCCGGAAGGAAGCAGCGAUAAGCAGGCCCGUCCAUGUGCCGCGGACACUCCCGAUCCCG